This 253-nucleotide ribosomal RNA is filed under the name uncultured bacterium. RNAcentral's name for it is "partial 16S ribosomal RNA". It matches the Rfam family "Bacterial small subunit ribosomal RNA", at positions 524 to 776 of the family's 1533-position model. The record is from RNAcentral.
UACAGAGGGUGCAAGCGUUAAUCGGAAUUACUGGGCGUAAAGCGCACGUAGGUGGCCAAUUAAGUCAAAUGUGAAAUCCCCGAGCUUAACUUGGGAAUUGCAUUCGAUACUGGUUGGCUAGAGUAUGGGAGAGGAUGGUAGAAUUCCAGGUGUAGCGGUGAAAUGCGUAGAGAUCUGGAGGAAUACCGAUGGCGAAGGCAGCCAUCUGGCCUAAUACUGACACUGAGGUGCGAAAGCAUGGGGAGCAAACAGG